UACGGAGGGAGCUAGCGUUGUUCGGAAUUACUGGGCGUAAAGCGCGCGUAGGCGGCUUCGUAAGUUAGAGGUGAAAGCCCGGGGCUCAACCCCGGAAUUGCCUUUAAGACUGCAUCGCUUGAAUCCGGGAGAGGUGAGUGGAAUUCCGAGUGUAGAGGUGAAAUUCGUAGAUAUUCGGAAGAACACCAGUGGCGAAGGCGGCUCACUGGACCGGCAUUGACGCUGAGGUGCGAAAGCGUGGGGAGCAAACAGG
This 253-nucleotide ribosomal RNA is filed under the name uncultured bacterium. RNAcentral describes it as "partial 16S ribosomal RNA". It matches the Rfam family "Bacterial small subunit ribosomal RNA", at positions 524 to 776 of the family's 1533-position model. The record is from RNAcentral.